RNAcentral lists this long non-coding RNA (214 nucleotides) under Lathyrus oleraceus (garden pea). RNAcentral's name for it is "Pisum sativum (pea) long non-coding RNA (PSAT_LNC013895)". The record is from RNAcentral. Lineage: Eukaryota; Viridiplantae; Streptophyta; Magnoliopsida; Fabales; Fabaceae.
UUUUGGAGGGUUGGGAUUGGUGCUCAAGGAGCCCACAUGUUCAUGUGUUAAAAGGAGAUGAAAACGCCUUGACAUAAGGGCUAUUAAUUAAUUGAUGUGAUGUCACUAUUAAUAUAAAAUAUCAAUUCAUGGUUUUUUUUAGGAACCACUAUAACUAGCUAUAUUUAUUCACUCCAUGUGGAUCCACAAAGUACUUUUAUGAGCUUUAUUUUUA